Molecule: non-coding RNA, 73 nt
Organism: Nelumbo nucifera (sacred lotus)
Lineage: Eukaryota; Viridiplantae; Streptophyta; Magnoliopsida; Proteales; Nelumbonaceae
Source: Rfam
GGGGACGUAGCUCAAACGUUAGAGCGCUUGCUUUGCAUGCAAGAGGUACGGGGAUGGAUAAACCGCAUCUCCA